RNAcentral lists this ribosomal RNA (253 nucleotides) under uncultured bacterium. RNAcentral's name for it is "partial 16S ribosomal RNA". It matches the Rfam family "Bacterial small subunit ribosomal RNA", at positions 524 to 776 of the family's 1533-position model. The record is from RNAcentral.
UACGGAGGGGGCUAGCGUUGUUCGGAAUUACUGGGCGUAAAGCGCACGUAGGCGGCUUUGUAAGUUAGAGGUGAAAGCCUGGUGCUCAACACCAGAAUUGCCUUUAAGACUGCAUCGCUUGAACGUCGGAGAGGUGAGUGGAAUUCCGAGUGUAGAGGUGAAAUUCGUAGAUAUUCGGAAGAACACCAGUGGCGAAGGCGGCUCACUGGACGACUGUUGACGCUGAGGUGCGAAAGCCAGGGGAGCAAACGGG